AUGACAUGGCGCCCAUCCAUCCAUCCAUCUCUCCAUCCCACAUCCAUCCAUCCAUUUAUCUACAGAAAAAAGAAAAAAAUGAAAAAGAGAUACCCCACCCGCAGCCCAAACCCUAGCUCAGAUCUCCCUUCCUCCGACAUCAAGGACCCGGAGCACCCCUACUCACUGGAGCAGAUACGGUGUGUGCUCUCCCAGGAGUCUGCCUCCGUCUCCCAGAUAACCUUCACCCCGACUGUGCAGCACUGCAGUAUGGCUACGGUGAUUGGCCUGUGCCUCAGGCUUAAGUUGAUGCAAAACCCGCGAGACUACACCACUGACGACCUGCGUCCUUCCCCGACCACGCCCACGACCUUUUGUGGAUUUGAUCAUUUAAUUGAGAUAAUUAUUGAUUGUUUGCAUUUGAAAUGUGUAAAAUGA
This 417-nucleotide ribosomal RNA is filed under the name Triticum aestivum (bread wheat). RNAcentral describes it as "partial small subunit ribosomal RNA". The record is from RNAcentral. Lineage: Eukaryota; Viridiplantae; Streptophyta; Magnoliopsida; Poales; Poaceae.